ACGGAGUUANCCGGGGUUUCUUUACCAGAUACUGUCAUUAUCAUCUCUGGCGAAAGAGCUUUACGACCCUAAGGCCUUCGUCACUCACGCGGCAUGGCUAGAUCAGGCUUGCGCCCAUUGUCUAAGAUUCCCC
Molecule: ribosomal RNA, 133 nt
Filed under: uncultured bacterium
Lineage: Bacteria
Description: partial 16S ribosomal RNA
Source: RNAcentral